RNAcentral lists this ribosomal RNA (431 nucleotides) under Salmonella enterica subsp. enterica serovar Virchow. RNAcentral describes it as "bacterial SSU rRNA". It matches the Rfam family "Bacterial small subunit ribosomal RNA", at positions 1114 to 1533 of the family's 1533-position model. The record is from RNAcentral. RNAcentral also lists the same sequence under 2 other names. Lineage: Bacteria; Pseudomonadati; Pseudomonadota; Gammaproteobacteria; Enterobacterales; Enterobacteriaceae.
GUUGCCAGCGAUUAGGUCGGGAACUCAAAGGAGACUGCCAGUGAUAAACUGGAGGAAGGUGGGGAUGACGUCAAGUCAUCAUGGCCCUUACGACCAGGGCUACACACGUGCUACAAUGGCGCAUACAAAGAGAAGCGACCUCGCGAGAGCAAGCGGACCUCAUAAAGUGCGUCGUAGUCCGGAUUGGAGUCUGCAACUCGACUCCAUGAAGUCGGAAUCGCUAGUAAUCGUGGAUCAGAAUGCCACGGUGAAUACGUUCCCGGGCCUUGUACACACCGCCCGUCACACCAUGGGAGUGGGUUGCAAAAGAAGUAGGUAGCUUAACCUUCGGGAGGGCGCUUACCACUUUGUGAUUCAUGACUGGGGUGAAGUCGUAACAAGGUAACCGUAGGGGAACCUGCGGUUGGAUCACCUCCUUACCUUAAAGAAGC